RNAcentral lists this ribosomal RNA (440 nucleotides) under uncultured Legionellaceae bacterium. Its description in RNAcentral is "bacterial SSU rRNA". It matches the Rfam family "Bacterial small subunit ribosomal RNA", at positions 66 to 501 of the family's 1533-position model. Lineage: Bacteria; Pseudomonadati; Pseudomonadota; Gammaproteobacteria; Legionellales; Legionellaceae. The record is from RNAcentral.
ACGGCAGCAUGAUCUAGCUUGCUAGAUUGAUGGCGAGUAGCGGACGGGUGAGUAACGCGUAGGAAUCUACCUCUAGGUGGGGGACAACUUGUGGAAACGCAAGCUAAUACCGCAUAAUACCUGAGGGUUAAAGCUAGCUUCGGCUGGCGCCAAGAGAUGAGCCUGCGUCUGAUUAGCUAGUUGGUGGGGUAAAGGCCUACCAAGGCGACGAUCAGUAGCUGUUCUGAGAGGAAGAUCAGCCACACUGGGACUGAGACACGGCCCAGACUCCUACGGGAGGCAGCAGUGGGGAAUAUUGGACAAUGGGGGCAACCCUGAUCCAGCAAUGCCACGUGUGUGAAGAAGGCCUUAGGGUUGUAAAGCACUUUCAUUAGCGAGGAAGGUAUUUAGGUUAAGAGCUAAGAUACUUGACGUUAACUAAAGAAGAAGCACCGGCUAAC